Molecule: unclassified non-coding RNA, 263 nt
Filed under: plant metagenome
Description: partial contains small subunit ribosomal RNA, internal transcribed spacer 1, and 5.8S ribosomal RNA
Source: RNAcentral
UUUCCGUAGGUGAACCUGCGGAAGGAUCAUUAUUGUAUAACCGCGGAGCGAGGGCUGUCGCUGACCCGAAAGGUCGUGCACGCCCGAGUGCCCUCACACACAUCCAUCUCACCCCUAUGUGCACCACCGCGUGGGUCCCCCUUUGGCUUGUUCGGAGGGGGGCUUACGUUUUCACACAAACUUUGUAUGCAGUGUAGAAUGUAUUUUUUGUUUUUGCGAUCACGCAAUCAAUACAACUUUCAACAACGGAUCUCUUGGCUCUC